This 812-nucleotide unclassified non-coding RNA is filed under the name Arabidopsis thaliana (thale cress). RNAcentral's name for it is "3' external transcribed spacer". Lineage: Eukaryota; Viridiplantae; Streptophyta; Magnoliopsida; Brassicales; Brassicaceae. The record is from RNAcentral.
CCCUCCCCUAAAUCACUCCAAAAAAAACAAUCCCCAAUUCUACACAAGUGUUUCUACACUAACAAAGCAACAGCUCCUUAACGAAUUCCCAACUUUACACGAGCUCGUCUCGAGGUUAAAUGUUAUUACUUGGUAAGAUUCCGGACCUCGCCAAGUGUUUUGAAAACCCGCAACGCUCGCAAAGGUGCAUAGUGAGAAUAAUAAGUGAAGAGACAGACUUGUCCAAAACGCCCACCACGAAGGUGCAUAGUGAGAAGAGUAAGUCAAGAGAUAGACUUGUCCAAAAAGAAACGGAAGAGAAAGCUUGGGGAGACGCUCACGAAGGUGCAUAGUGAGAAGAGUAAGUCAAGAGAUAGACUUGUUCAAAAAGAAACAGAAGAGAAUGCUUGGGGUUACACUCACGAAGGUGCAUAGUGAGAAGAGUAAGUCAAGAGACAGACUUGUUCAAAAAGAAACGAAAGAGAAUGCUUGGGGAGAUAGAAGUGUGAGAUAGUUCUCAAGCUAAGAAAGUUGUAAAAGCUAAGAACUAGCAAGUAAUCGUCCAGGAUUCCUCCACCAGGACUUGAAAUCGUCGAGGGAAAAAAAUCGGUUCCGAGGAAUCGUCGAUCCGGACUUGGAAUCGUCGAGAAAAGUUUACCGGGUCCGAGGAUUUGUCGACCAGGAGUGGAAAUCGUCGAGAAAAAUCUAUCGGGUCCGAGGAAUCGUCGACCAGGACGAGGAAUCGUCGACCGGGUCCGAGGAUUUGUCGACCAGGGGUUGAAAUCGUCGACCAGGUCCGAGACUUCAUCGACCGGGUCCGAGGAUUCGUCGAC